Gallus gallus (chicken) is the source of this 602-nucleotide long non-coding RNA. NCBI's taxonomy places the organism in Eukaryota, Metazoa, Chordata, Aves, Galliformes, Phasianidae. The record is from Ensembl.
CCCCCCCAUUUAAGCACUGACUGCCAUAGGGAGAAGGAUCUUUUUCUGAAGAUUGCUCCUUUUGGAGUUUUUUCUGUGAGCCUAUGACGCAGCCACUGGGAAAUUACUGCAAUAUCUUUCCCCAGAGUUUACUACUUUUAUACUGAUAAGUUGAGUAUCUGCUGCUUAGGAGUUGCCAUAUAAGUGAAUUCAGGAAACACUAAAAUCAUAAGUGUUUCAAAUGUGAGAUACUGCUUUGAAGAACAGCUUUGAGCUCUGAAGGAAGAGAAAUUCUUCCCCAUUGUUUUCAUCACCAGUUUGUCUAAAUCUUCCAGCAAACAUUACAGUUUGUGCGCUGACUUAAGCAUUGCUCAGUUGCUGGUUGACCAAGGCAUGAAUACUAAGUAUGGCAUUUACAGUCAAGUCUUCUUUCUGACACCAAGUGUGCAUCAUCAAUAGUAACACAGAACUACUUAUCAAGAAAGAUGAUCAUGCUUUUAUAAUUUUGAAUUCUGGCUAGGAGUGAAUCAAUAAAAACGUGCCAUGACUUAAAAGAAAAAAACAGUAUUCAAAUCAGUCUUUUGAUUAGCCAAGAAAUUUGAAUUUCUUAGAAUGUGUAAAGG